GGAAAUGCGAAAGCAGGUUCAAAAAUGGAUAAAAAAUUUUAUAGUUUCAGUAUGUGAUGAAUCUUGUUUUAAAUUUUCAAGAGGAAACAUAAGUAACGGCCAUCUCAACAUUGCUCACAGGCGGACACCACCGCAGGGAAGAGAAUCGAGUGACUACUACAUAGCAUUUAUUUUUUCUUGCGAGGUACCUAUACAAAAAAAUUAUAAAACAAUAAAAAUCUAUGUCGGUAGUUAAAACGUAUUACGCUUCAGGCGAGUAAUAAAGAACGAAAAAGAAAAAAAUAAAACGUCGGCCAGUUGUCAAUUACGAUUCAUAUAAAGUGAAGGAAAAGUGAUCGCAACACGUUAUAUAUAAUUACAGUAAUAAAGAUUCAUAAAUAUAAAAUUCAGCAAGUUGAAAAAAUAAAAGUUUAAUAGUGAUUAUUUCUGGAUAUAUAUUACAUAUGCACUACAUUAAAAUAAUAAUGACAUAAUAUUAAAUAUUGAUUAUUUAUCACGAUAGAGUUGUUACUCAAUAUUAUUCCAUUUAUUAUUUUAAUAUAUUAGUGUCCAAUGUCCAUACAUAGUUGGAAUUAAUAAAUUAAAUCUAUGGUUUUUACGCUAUAUAUGUAUUUAAAUAAUUAGUCUAACAUAAAACUAUUGUAGGUAUUUUUGUUGUGAAAUAUAAAUCUACACGAUAAAAUCAAGUCUUUUAAUUUUUUACUGUUAUACACCUAUACCUGAUAGUCCUAGGGUUUUAGUACCACUUUUGUUAGGGAAGAUGUCAAAUAUCUUGACAUUUUCAGAUUUUUAUAGGGAUAAUAUUUUAUUUGUAUCUUAACACUGUAUUUGGUGUGAAAACGAUACAUAUUUACGUGUUCUUAUAGUAACAAUAUAUGCAUCUUUAUUUUAUUUAUUUCGAAAAGGGAACAUAGUAAGUUACACAAAAUAAGUUUUGUGUUUCUCUUGUAAAAUUCCAAUGUCGACGUACAUAUUAUAUAUUAUAAUAUAUUAAAAUAAUUGUUUAAAGCGUAUAGUUAAGCAAU
Molecule: long non-coding RNA, 1025 nt
Organism: Aphis gossypii (cotton aphid)
Lineage: Eukaryota; Metazoa; Arthropoda; Insecta; Hemiptera; Aphididae
Exons: 3
Source: RefSeq, a predicted model, not a curated record